RNAcentral lists this long non-coding RNA (1430 nucleotides) under Apteryx owenii (little spotted kiwi). RNAcentral describes it as "lncRNA (ENSAOWG00000015776.1)". Lineage: Eukaryota; Metazoa; Chordata; Aves; Apterygiformes; Apterygidae. The record is from RNAcentral.
UCGGCCCCGCGCUCCGCCUAUAGGGGGCGGUGAGGGCGGGGCGCGGGGCGCGCGGACGACCGUUGGGCGGCCCAGCCUGUGGUAGGCGCUCGGCGCCCUGCCUGCCCCCACAGAACCUGGGGGAGGCUCCUGUGGGCCUGUUGCCGUGUCGGUAACCGUGCCAGAGUCGGAGACGGUCGCAGACUUCAGUGUUAGCCGUGGGGCCGGCCCGGUCAGGCGUUAAGUGCCGCCAGGGAAGGGGGGUGCGGUAGUUCCCUGGCCCGGGGCUGUGUUGCCGCCGUCGUGUGGUGGGCUGCGAGCGCGCGUCUGCAAGCGGCGGGCCGCGAGCCUGAGGUCUCUCUUCACACAGAAAACCUGUCAGCCCUCCGAGAUGCAGAAAUUCAAAAUGAGUGCUGGCUGUUUCUCUGCCUCAUCAAGGGAUAAUUAGGAGGACUGAAGUACAAUUAAAGAAGAGCUGAUAAGAAAGCGCUCUGGAAGAUGGAGCAUAAAGUUCAGCAGAUCUAGUAAUGUAGAGAGGUGCUGGUAUAUCCCUGCCAGUCCUAGGUAGGUGGAUUUAGAGUUAAAGGUAUCUGUAGGAUGUCAUUAUUUUCAAUUAUUAUUCUUACAAAACAGUACUAGGAUAGUGAUAUUUAAAUUCAUAUUCACAUGUACUAUGUUACCUAAGUGUGCAGAAUCAAAUACAAAGACACGGCUGUUAUACCUGUUUUUCAAAACUUCCACAAUCUGUUUUUUGACAAUGAUAAAGAAUAGAAGGGAGCAUUAACAUAAGAGAAUGUUGUAUUUACAACUUGAAUCCCAUUUUAAUGUAUUUAAAUAUAUAAAAUACUUCCUUUUAUAAUGGCUGUAAUGGUGGCUUAAUUUAAUUGGAAUGGCUGUAUUUUAAAAAAUGAUUUCUCACAGAAAGGGUGUAAAAAUAUAAAAUUCAUGUAAAAAAUAUAAAAAUGGCAUCACUUUAUCUAUAAAUUAAAAAAACCAAAGGUUUUUGUAGUAUCUAACUGCAUUUUUAGUGUGUUCAUUAAUUAGGAAUUGUGAUACCAGUGAAAUUGUAUCUUUUCCAUCAUUUUACAUUAAACUUUUAGUACAGUUUCUGUACUAUUCUGCCUAAAGACUUGUUCCCAAAGAAAAAAAAGCAUGAAAUUUUAGCUUAAUGGCAACAGUUUCCUUAUGGGACAAAAAGUAUUGCCUUUGGGGGGGGAAAAAAAAGGCAGAAAAAAUGAGAAUGUUUAUUAAACUCUAAAAUAGAUAUUGUCUCUGAGUUGUGGCUUUCUGUUAAAUUCAAGUUGUUUUCUGGGCAACUGAAAUGUAAUAUUACCUAUAUGGCUUACUGCAAUAGUUUUUUUGUUUGUUUUUGGUUUUGUUUGCAUUUUGAAUAAUGAUGUGCAGAUGACAUUUUAAUAAGGGUAUCUUACAAAUGUUUUCUUCCUUAGCUU